CCUACGGGAGGCAGCAGUGAGGAAUAUUGGUCAAUGGGCGUAAGCCUGAACCAGCCAAGUCGCGUGAGGGAUGAAGGUUCUAUGGAUCGUAAACCUCUUUUAUAAGGGAAUAAAGUGUGGGACGUGUCCUAUUUUGUAUGUACCUUAUGAAUAAGGAUCGGCUAACCCCGUGCCAGCAGCCGCGGUAAUACGGAGGAUCCGAGCGUUAUCCGGAUUUAUUGGGUUUAAAGGGUGCGUAGGCGGGCUUUUAAGUCAGUGGUGAAAGUCUGUGGCUCAACCAUAGAAUUGCCGUUGAAACUGGGAGGCUUGAGUAUGGUUGAGGCAGGCGGAAUGCGUGGUGUAGCGGUGAAAUGCUGAGAUAUCACGCAGAACCCCGAUUGCGAAGGCAGCCUGCCAAGCCAUGACUGACGCUGAUGCACGAAAGCGUGGGGAUCAAACAGGAUUAGAUACCCUUGUAGUC
RNAcentral lists this ribosomal RNA (460 nucleotides) under uncultured bacterium. RNAcentral's name for it is "partial 16S ribosomal RNA". It matches the Rfam family "Bacterial small subunit ribosomal RNA", at positions 338 to 795 of the family's 1533-position model. The record is from RNAcentral.